GCUUCUGGUUUAGUCUAGUUAAUUCUAUCUUCCUAUAAACCCUAGGUAUCAUCAACCUUUAAAACUUGUACAAGUUGUUCCCUGCUGCACUGCCAUUCCCUAAACCUUAUUCUCUGCAGGCUUCGUUUUGUUGAAGGUGGUGGUCGUACGUAUAGGCUAUAAGAGUAAGUACGUAGCUUAGCUACCAUUAAUGGGACCUGGUGGAGGCCCCCCAGGAGCCCCCGGACCGCCAGGUUUCGGCGGCCCUCCUGGUCCGCCUCCUCUCUUCGGUGGCUUUUUUGAUUUUAUUGGUUCAUGUGUGAGUUUUCUGUGCUGCUGCUGGUUAUUGCAAGACUGCUUUGGUGGGCCACCACCAGGGCCUCCUGCACCCUUCGGCCCGCCUGGACCGCCGCCACCUCCAUGAUAUCAUCAAGCAGGCUUGAGUUUCCAGAAAUCAAUUGUACCGCGCAUAUAUUAGUAGCAAUGCAUGUACAAUAACUUUGGAUUAGAAAGAGACUUGUAAUUCCGAGUCCUGUUCUGCUAAACUCCAAAAUCCAUAUAAAUUGUGAUCAUUCACCGUUCGAUUUAAUUUAAAGAAAACUAAUGAAAAAGAUUUGAAAA
Molecule: long non-coding RNA, 600 nt
Organism: Pyrus x bretschneideri (Chinese white pear)
Lineage: Eukaryota; Viridiplantae; Streptophyta; Magnoliopsida; Rosales; Rosaceae
Exons: 2
Source: RefSeq, a predicted model, not a curated record